GUAGUCGUGGCCGAGUGGUUAAGGUGAUUGACUAGAAAUCCAUUGGGGUCUCCCCACGCAGGUUCGAAUCCUGCCGACUACG
This 82-nucleotide transfer RNA is filed under the name Danio rerio (zebrafish). Its description in RNAcentral is "tRNA-Ser (AGA) (tRNA-Ser-AGA-132-1)". It matches the Rfam family "tRNA". Rfam says of the family: Transfer RNA (tRNA) molecules are approximately 80 nucleotides in length. Lineage: Eukaryota; Metazoa; Chordata; Actinopteri; Cypriniformes; Danionidae. The record is from Rfam by way of RNAcentral.